This 438-nucleotide ribosomal RNA is filed under the name uncultured bacterium. Its description in RNAcentral is "bacterial SSU rRNA". It matches the Rfam family "Bacterial small subunit ribosomal RNA", at positions 954 to 1392 of the family's 1533-position model. The record is from RNAcentral.
GCUUAACGCGAAGAACCUUACCUACCCUUGACAUGCUAGGAAGCUCGCAGAGAUGUGAGCGUGCCCGAAAGGGAAUCUAGACACAGGUGCUGCAUGGCUGUCGUCAGCUCGUGUCGUGAGAUGUUGGGUUAAGUCCCGCAACGAGCGCAACCCUUGCCAUUAGUUGCUACAUUCAGUUGGGCACUCUAAUGGGACCGCCGGUGACAAACCGGAGGAAGGUGGGGAUGACGUCAAGUCCUCAUGGCCCUUAUGGGUAGGGCUUCACACGUAAUACAAUGGUCGGUACAGAGGGUUGCCAACCCGCGAGGGGGAGCUAAUCUCAUAAAGCCAGUCGUAGUCCGGAUCGCAGUCUGCAACUCGACUGCGUGAAGUCGGAAUCGCUAGUAAUCGCGGAUCAGAAUGUCGCGGUGAAUACGUCCCCGGGUCUUGUACACACCG